This 879-nucleotide ribosomal RNA is filed under the name Salmonella enterica. Its description in RNAcentral is "partial 23S ribosomal RNA". It matches the Rfam family "Bacterial large subunit ribosomal RNA", at positions 670 to 1549 of the family's 2925-position model. Lineage: Bacteria; Pseudomonadati; Pseudomonadota; Gammaproteobacteria; Enterobacterales; Enterobacteriaceae. The record is from RNAcentral. RNAcentral also lists the same sequence under 1 other name.
AGGGAAACCGAGUCUUAACUGGGCGUUAAGUUGCAGGGUAUAGACCCGAAACCCGGUGAUCUAGCCAUGGGCAGGUUGAAGGUUGGGUAACACUAACUGGAGGACCGAACCGACUAAUGUUGAAAAAUUAGCGGAUGACUUGUGGCUGGGGGUGAAAGGCCAAUCAAACCGGGAGAUAGCUGGUUCUCCCCGAAAGCUAUUUAGGUAGCGCCUCGUGAACUCAUCUUCGGGGGUAGAGCACUGUUUCGGCUAGGGGGUCAUCCCGACUUACCAACCCGAUGCAAACUGCGAAUACCGAAGAAUGUUAUCACGGGAGACACACGGCGGGUGCUAACGUCCGUCGUGAAGAGGGAAACAACCCAGACCGCCAGCUAAGGUCCCAAAGUCACAGUUAAGUGGGAAACGAUGUGGGAAGGCUCAGACAGCCAGGAUGUUGGCUUAGAAGCAGCCAUCAUUUAAAGAAAGCGUAAUAGCUCACUGGUCGAGUCGGCCUGCGCGGAAGAUGUAACGGGGCUAAACUGUGCACCGAAGCUGCGGCAGCGACGCUUAUGCGUUGUUGGGUAGGGGAGCGUUCUGUAAGCCUGCGAAGGUGUCCUGUGAGGGAUGCUGGAGGUAUCAGAAGUGCGAAUGCUGACAUAAGUAACGAUAAUGCGGGUGAAAAGCCCGCUCGCCGGAAGACCAAGGGUUCCUGUCCAACGUUAAUCGGGGCAGGGUGAGUCGACCCCUAAGGCGAGGCCGAAAGGCGUAGUCGAUGGGAAACGGGUUAAUAUUCCCGUACUUGGUGUUACUGCGAAGGGGGGACGGAGAAGGCUAUGUUGGCCGGGCGACGGUUGUCCCGGUUUAAGCGUGUAGGCUGGUUUUCCAGGCAAAUCCGGAAAA